GGGUUGUGAGGUUAAGCGACUAAGCGUACACGGUGGAUGCCCUGGCAGUCAGAGGCGAUGAAGGACGUGCUAAUCUGCGAAAAGCGUCGGUAAGGUGAUAUGAACCGUUACAGCCGGCGAUGUCCGAAUGGGGAAACCCAGUGCAAUUCGUUGCACUAUCGUUAACUGAAUACAUAGGUUAACGAGGCGAACCGGGGGAACUGAAACAUCUAAGUACCCCGAGGAAAAGAAAUCNAACCGAGAUUCCCCCAGUAGCGGCGAGCGAACGGGGAGCAGCCCAGAGUCUGAAUCAGCUUGUGUGUUAGUGGAACGGUCUGGAAAGUCCGACGGUACAGGGUGAUAGUCCCGUACACCAAAAUGCACAGGCUGUGAACUCGAAGAGUAGGGCGGGACACGUGGUAUCCUGUCUGAAUAUGGGGGGACCAUCCUCCAAGGCUAAAUACUCCUGACUGACCGAUAGUGAACCAGUACCGUGAGGGAAAGGCGAAAANGAACCCCGGCGAGGGGNAGUGAAAAAGAACCUGAAACCGUGUACGUACAAGCAGUGGGAGCACCUUCGGGUGUGACUGCGUACCUUUUGUAUAAUGGGUCAGCGACUUAUAUUCUGUAGCAAGGUUAACCGUAUAGGGGNAGCCGCAGGGAAACCGAGUCUUAACUGGGCGUUAAGUUGCAGGGUAUAGACCCGAAACCCGGUGAUCUAGCCAUGGGCAGGUUGAAGGUUGGGUAACACUAACUGGAGGACCGAACCGACUAAUGUUGAAAAAUUAGCGGAUGACUUGUGGCUGGGGGUGAAAGGCCAAUCAAACCGGGAGAUAGCUGGUUCUCCCCGAAAGCUAUUUAGGUAGCGCCNUCGUGAACNUCAUCUUNCGGGGGUAGAGNCACUGUUUCGGCUAGGGGGUCAUCCCGACUUACCAACCCGAUGCAAACUACGAAUACCGAAGAAUGUUAUCACGGGAGACACACGGCGGGUGCUAACGUCCGUCGUGAAGAGGGAAACAACCCAGACCGCCAGCUAAGGUCCCAAAGUCAUGGUUAAGUGGGAAACGAUNGUGGGAAGGCACAGACAGCCAGGAUGUUGGCUUAGAAGCAGCCAUCAUUUAAAGAAAGCGUAAUAGCUCACUGGUCGAGUCGGCCUGCGCGGAAGAUGUAACGGGGCUAAACCAUGCACCGAAGCUGCGGCAGCGACACUAUGUGUUGUUGGGUAGGGGAGCGUUCUGUAAGCCUGCGAAGGUGUGCUGUGNAGGCAUGCUGGAGGUAUCAGAAGUGCGAAUGCUGACAUAAGUAACGAUAAAGCGGGUGAAAAGCCCGCUCGCCGGAAGACCAAGGGUUCCUGUCCAACGUUAAUCGGGGCAGGGUGAGUCGACCCCUAAGGCGAGGCCGAAAGGCGUAGUCGAUGGGAAACAGGUUAAUAUUCCUGUACUUGGUGUUACUGCGAAGGGGGGACGGAGAAGGCUAUGUUAGCCGGGCGACGGUUGUCCCGGUUUAAGCAUGUAGGCUGGUUAUCCAGGCAAAUCCGGAUAAUCAAGGCUGAGGUGUGAUGACGAGGCACUACGGUGCUGAAGUAACAAAUGCCCUGCUUCCAGGAAAAGCCUCUAAGCAUCAGGUAACAUCAAAUCGUACCCCAAACCGACACAGGUGGUCAGGUAGAGAAUACCAAGGCGCUUGAGAGAANCUCGGGUGAAGGAACUAGGCAAAAUGGUGCCGUAACUUCGGGAGAAGGCACGCUGGUGUGUAGGUGAAGUCCCUGCGGAUGGAGCUGAGACCAGUCGAAGAUACCAGCUGGCUGCAACUGUUUAUUAAAAACACAGCACUGUGCAAACACGAAAGUGGACGUAUACGGUGUGACGCCUGCCCGGUGCCGGAAGGUUAAUUGAUGGGGUUAUCCGUAAGGAGAAGCUCUUGAUCGAAGCCCCGGUAAACGGCGGCCGUAACUAUAACGGUCCUAAGGUAGCGAAAUUCCUUGUCGGGUAAGUUCCGACCUGCACGAAUGGCGUAAUGAUGGCCAGGCUGUCUCCACCCGNAGACUCAGUGAAAUUGAACUCGCUGUGAAGAUGCAGUGUACCCGCGGCAAGACGGAAAGACCCCGUGAACCUUUACUAUAGCUUGACACUGAACAUUGAGCCUUGAUGUGUAGGAUAGGUGGGAGGCUUUGAAGCGUGGACGCCAGUCUGCGUGGAGCCAACCUUGAAAUACCACCCUUUAAUGUUUGAUGUUCUAACGUUGGCCCCUGACCGGGGUUGCGGACAGUGUCUGGUGGGUAGUUUGACUGGGGCGGUCUCCNUCCCAAAGCGUAACGGAGGAGCACGAAGGUUAGCUAAUCCUGGUCGGACAUCAGGAGGUUAGUGCAAUGGCAUAAGCUAGCUUGACUGCGAGCGUGACGGCGCGAGCAGGUGCGAAAGCAGGUCAUAGUGAUCCGGUGGUUCUGAAUGGAAGGGCCAUCGCUCAACGGAUAAAAGGUACUCCGGGGAUAACAGGCUGAUACCGCCCAAGAGUUCAUAUCGACGGCGGUGUUUGG
RNAcentral lists this ribosomal RNA (2515 nucleotides) under Klebsiella pneumoniae. Its description in RNAcentral is "bacterial LSU rRNA". It matches the Rfam family "Bacterial large subunit ribosomal RNA", at positions 1 to 2521 of the family's 2925-position model. The record is from RNAcentral. Lineage: Bacteria; Pseudomonadati; Pseudomonadota; Gammaproteobacteria; Enterobacterales; Enterobacteriaceae.